GAUGAACGCUGGCGGCGUGCCUAAUACAUGCAAGUCGAGCGAACGGACGAGAAGCUUGCUUCUCUGAUGUUAGCGGCGGACGGGUGAGUAACACGUGGAUAACCUACCUAUAAGACUGGGAUAACUUCGGGAAACCGGAGCUAAUACCGGAUAAUAUUUUGAACCGCAUGGUUCAAAAGUGAAAGACGGUCUUGCUGUCACUUAUAGAUGGAUCCGCGCUGCAUUAGCUAGUUGGUAAGGUAACGGCUUACCAAGGCAACGAUGCAUAGCCGACCUGAGAGGGUGAUCGGCCACACUGGAACGGAGACACGGUCCAGACUCCUACGGGAGGCAGCAGUAGGGAAUCUUCCGCAAUAGGCGAAAGCCUGACGGAGCAACGCCGCGUGAGUGAUGAAGGUCUUCGGAUCGUAAAACUCUGUUAUUAGGGAAGAACAUAUGUGUAAGUAACUGUGCACAUCUUGACGGUACCUAAUCAGAAAGCCACGGCUAACUACGUG
Molecule: ribosomal RNA, 497 nt
Filed under: uncultured bacterium
Lineage: Bacteria
Description: partial 16S ribosomal RNA
Rfam family: Bacterial small subunit ribosomal RNA
Source: RNAcentral